RNAcentral lists this long non-coding RNA (1048 nucleotides) under Papio anubis (olive baboon). RNAcentral's name for it is "lncRNA (ENSPANG00000047285.1)". Lineage: Eukaryota; Metazoa; Chordata; Mammalia; Primates; Cercopithecidae. The record is from RNAcentral.
UAUUCUGUUAGGAAAUAUCCUGUUGAUGGCUAUUUGGAUUGUUCCCAAGUUUUGGAUAGAGUGAGUAAAGUUGCUUAUCCAAGUCUCUUGUGGCAACAUGCCUUCAUUUUCUUUUCAGCAAAUGCCUCAUAGUGGAAUUGCUGGAUCACAGGAAAGAUGUCUAUUUAACUUUGUGAGAAACUGCCUAGAGUUUUCGCAGCACAGUUUUACCAUUAAUGUUCCCACCAGCCAAGUAUGAGAGUUUCACUGGCCCCACCUCCUCCCCACUUGCUGUUUGCCGUCUAUUUUGUCUGAACCAUCAAGGUGGGUGUGACUUUCUAAUUGUGGGUUUAAAAGGCAUUUCCCUGAUGUGAUGGGAAUGAGUUCUGUUUUUAUUUCUCUGAAAGUGCCUUUAUUUCACCCUUAUUUUAACAAGACAUGUUCUUUGGUGCAUUAGUCUGUUUUCAUGCUGUUAAUAAAGACAUACCCGAGACUCAGUAAUUUAUAAAGAAAAAGAGGUUUAAUGGACUCAGUUCCACAUGGCUGAGGAGGUCUCACAACCAUGGCAGGAGGCGGAAGGCAAAAGGAACUCUUACAUGGAAGCAAGGCAAGACAGAAUGAGAACCAAGCAGAAGGGGUUUCCCCUUAUAAAACCAUCAGAUCUCGUGAGACUUACUCACCACCACGAGAACAGUAUGGGGGAAACCACCCCCAUGAUUCAAUUAACUCCCACUGGGUCCCUCCCGCAACACGUGGGAAUUAUGGGAGCUGCAAUUCAAGAUGAGAUUUGGGUGGAGACACAGCCAAACCAUAUCCCUUGUAUAUAAAAAUCCAGACGAGUGGCCGACUCUGGAGCCCAGGAUGUUGCUUCCCAGUUUGGUGGUGAAUCCUCCACAGUCUGGUGAGUGUAAAUAUCUUUUCGCUUCACCUCUUUUCACUGCAAUUUGCUUAUUAUAUGAAUCUGCUUAUUAUAUUGAUUGUCUUAUUAUAUCUUUGCUUAUUAUACCAUUUCCUUAUUAUAUUUGCAUUGCCUUGUUUACCCUUAAAGGUAUUGUGUGUGUGCCUUUUC